RNAcentral lists this unclassified non-coding RNA (863 nucleotides) under Hevea brasiliensis (rubber tree). The record is from RNAcentral. Lineage: Eukaryota; Viridiplantae; Streptophyta; Magnoliopsida; Malpighiales; Euphorbiaceae.
GGCCAUUUUAGGAGAAACUCUGUGGUCAACUCGUUUUUCCACCGUCCGUCCCAUCGUUGGUGACGUCACCCGUCCUCUCCGAACUACGAUACAAUCACUGCACGCCGCCUUGCAAACUCCACAGAACCACAACAAUCUAGCUUGGCUUCACCUGAAAUUUCUUCGAAAAUUUAGAUCGAAAAACCCAAAACCACAACUUUCUCUCCCCACUCCGUCAAUUUGGCGAAGUGCCCAGGCACCUGAGCGCCGCCGAACGCUUCCCGAACAUCUGGUAGCUUUCCUUCACUUUCCGGCGAGGCUUCGGUGACGAACUUGAAGGUACAGCAGAUUUAAACCAUAUUUUCUUCUCUUUCCGGGGGAAUUGCUGAGAAAUUACUUCUGAGCUGAUUUACGAGGACACUGUCUUUGCUCCGUGAGAAAGGAUCGCUGAAAGAAAAGAAUCUAACAGAAAACAGAUAUUGUUUGGACUGACCAAGGAUUUCUGCUUCCAAUCAUCUUUCCCUCUGCUCCUCCUCAGUUGUGUUCUGUAUAGAAGAUUUAAUGGCCAACAAGUCAAGACCAAAACCUAGCAAAUUAGCUGUCUACCUUUACAUACCCAAUAUUGUUGGGUACACAAGGGUUCUCAUGAAUUGUUUUGCUUUUGCUAUAUGCUUUUCCAACAAAAGGCUUUUCUGCCUUCUCUAUUUUAUUAGUUUUGUAUGUGAUGGCAUUGAUGGUUGGUGUGCCCGUAAAUUCAAUCAAGUAUCAACUUUUGGAGCUGUUUUGGAUAUGGUGACUGAUAGGAUUAGCACUGCUUGUCUACUUGUAAUGCUUUCCCAAGUAUACAGACCUGGCUUGGUUUUUGUGUCAUUGCUUGCCCUGGA